RNAcentral lists this ribosomal RNA (452 nucleotides) under Salmonella enterica. RNAcentral's name for it is "bacterial SSU rRNA". It matches the Rfam family "Bacterial small subunit ribosomal RNA", at positions 1 to 449 of the family's 1533-position model. Lineage: Bacteria; Pseudomonadati; Pseudomonadota; Gammaproteobacteria; Enterobacterales; Enterobacteriaceae. The record is from RNAcentral.
AAAUUGAAGAGUUUGAUCAUGGCUCAGAUUGAACGCUGGCGGCAGGCCUAACACAUGCAAGUCGAACGGUAACAGGAAGCAGCUUGCUGCUUUGCUGACGAGUGGCGGACGGGUGAGUAAUGUCUGGGAAACUGCCUGAUGGAGGGGGAUAACUACUGGAAACGGUGGCUAAUACCGCAUAAUGUCGCAAGACCAAAGAGGGGGACCUUCGGGCCUCUUGCCAUCAGAUGUGCCCAGAUGGGAUUAGCUUGUUGGUGAGGUAACGGCUCACCAAGGCGACGAUCCCUAGCUGGUCUGAGAGGAUGACCAGCCACACUGGAACUGAGACACGGUCCAGACUCCUACGGGAGGCAGCAGUGGGGAAUAUUGCACAAUGGGCGCAAGCCUGAUGCAGCCAUGCCGCGUGUAUGAAGAAGGCCUUCGGGUUGUAAAGUACUUUCAGCGGGGAGGAA